This 575-nucleotide long non-coding RNA is filed under the name Pan troglodytes (chimpanzee). RNAcentral describes it as "lincRNA". Lineage: Eukaryota; Metazoa; Chordata; Mammalia; Primates; Hominidae. The record is from RNAcentral.
GUGAGGCCAGAGGAGCUCCGUGCUGCUAGGAGAUCCAGGCAGAAACCUCCAGGAUUGGAAGCUCAGCCCAGCGGCUGGGAGGCUGUGGCACCUCCUGUCCACAUGGCAGGCCAGGCCGAGGUGGGCUGGCUACACAGUGGGGCUCCCCCCUCUCUGAUAAGGACAUGGCAUUCGUCUCCUCCAGAGGAUACAGCACCAAGGCACCAUCUUGGAAGUAGACUGGAGCUCUCAGCAGACCAGAACCUGUGGGUGUGUUGAUCUUGUACUUCCUGACCUCCAGAACUGUGAGAAAUGCAUUUCUGUUGUUUAUAAGUUGCCCAGUCUCAGGUAUUUUGUUACAGCAUCACAAACAGACUAAGACAAUCACUUAGAGGAGAAGUCCUCUCUUCCACUACAUGCAUUGUGUCUGUGUAUGGUAGCUGGAGCUGGAGCAGCCACGCUGCAACCCAGGGGCCAGCCAAGGGCAAGGCUGAGAGUGUUAUCACUGAUGUGUCAGGUGGUUCUUUGUUGUUUUGAGAAAGAAUUUUAAUUGAGAUAAUUUAUGUAACAUAAAAUUUACUGUUUUACAGUGUACA